RNAcentral lists this ribosomal RNA (429 nucleotides) under Actinomycetes bacterium. RNAcentral's name for it is "Actinobacteria bacterium partial 16S ribosomal RNA". It matches the Rfam family "Bacterial small subunit ribosomal RNA", at positions 355 to 776 of the family's 1533-position model. Lineage: Bacteria; Bacillati; Actinomycetota; Actinomycetes. The record is from RNAcentral.
UAGGGAAUCUUCCGCAAUGGGCGAAAGCCUGACGGAGCAACGCCGCGUGAGUGAUGAAGGUCUUCGGAUCGUAAAACUCUGUUAUUAGGGAAGAACAAAUGUGUAAGUAACUAUGCACGUCUUGACGGUACCUAAUCAGAAAGCCACGGCUAACUACGUGCCAGCAGCCGCGGUAAUACGUAGGUGGCAAGCGUUAUCCGGAAUUAUUGGGCGUAAAGCGCGCGUAGGCGGUUUUUUAAGUCUGAUGUGAAAGCCCACGGCUCAACCGGGGAGGGUCAUUGGAAACUGGAAAACUUGAGUGCAGAAGAGGAAAGUGGAAUUCCAGGUGUAGCGGUGAAAUGCGCAGAGAUAUGGAGGAACACCAGUGGCGAAGGCGACUUUCUGGUCUGUAACUGACGCUGAUGUGCGAAAGCGUGGGGAUCAAACAGG